CCUACGGUGGGCUGCAGUGGGGAAUAUUGCACAAUGGGGGAAACCCUGAUGCAGCGACGCCGCGUGAGUGAAGAAGCGUUUCGGCGCGUAAAGCUCUGUCAGCGGGGAAGAAACACGGUUCGCGAGAGCCGCGGACGGUACCCGACCAAGAAGCCCCGGCUAACUACGUGCCAGCAGCCGCGGUCAUACGUAGGGGGCAAGCGGUAUCCGGAUUCACUGGGUGUAAAGGGAGCGUAGACGGCGAGAGAAGUCUGGAGUGAAAGGCCGGGGCCCAACCCCGGGACUGCUCUGGAAACUGCCUGGCUGGAGUACAGGAGAGGUAAGUGGAAUUCCUAGUGUAGCGGUGAAAUGCGUAGAUAUUAGGAGGAACAUCGGUGGCGUAAGCGCUUUACUGGGCCGUAAUUGACGCUGAGGAACGAAAGCCAGGGUAGCAAAUGGGAUUAGAUACCCGUGUAGUC
This 458-nucleotide ribosomal RNA is filed under the name uncultured bacterium. Its description in RNAcentral is "partial 16S ribosomal RNA". It matches the Rfam family "Bacterial small subunit ribosomal RNA", at positions 338 to 795 of the family's 1533-position model. The record is from RNAcentral.